AUAUUCUGAAACUUAGAACUGUGUCACUGUUGGUUUUCUGUAUAAGGAGGAAAUAUGAUGCUUUGUUACUGGUCUUAUUUAUUGCAGACCUUGUCUGGAAUCUAGUAUUGAAGCUGUGCUUGAUGAGUUGCUGCCUUGAACUUUUCCACUGAUCAAUGCUGGUGCUAUGGCUGCAUGAAAGAAUAGCUUUCCUGAGGAGAAGCUAUCACAUGGGAAACACACUACACAGAGAGCCACAAGCGUGGUGAAGGUUUAAAGACUUUUGAGCAUCGCUGGGAGCAUCACAUGAACUUCAGCGCUGACACUCACCCUCAGGUGAGUGCUCAGGUGAGGUGCUGUCCUCUGAGCAGACCUGUGUU
Molecule: long non-coding RNA, 359 nt
Filed under: Struthio camelus australis
Lineage: Eukaryota; Metazoa; Chordata; Aves; Struthioniformes; Struthionidae
Description: lncRNA (ENSSCUG00000014354.1)
Source: RNAcentral